This 575-nucleotide ribosomal RNA is filed under the name Atheta pallidicornis. Its description in RNAcentral is "partial 16S ribosomal RNA". It matches the Rfam family "Bacterial large subunit ribosomal RNA", at positions 1911 to 2712 of the family's 2925-position model. The record is from RNAcentral. Lineage: Eukaryota; Metazoa; Arthropoda; Insecta; Coleoptera; Staphylinidae.
AAUGAAUUGAUUUAAUGGCCGCAGUAUUUUGANNGUGCAAAGGUAGCAUAAUCAUUAGUUUCUUAAUUAGAAACUGGAAUGAAUGGUUGGACGAGAAAAUAACUGUCUCUUUAUAAAUUUUUUAGAAUUUUAUUUUUAAGUUAAAAAGCUUAAAUUUUUUUGAAAGACGAGAAGACCCUAUAGAGUUUGAUAUAUUUUAUUUUAAUGAUUUAUGUAGUAAUUUUAAAAUUUUAUAUUUAAAUAUAUUUAAUUGGGGUGAUUAAAAAAUUUAUAAAACUUUUUUUGUAUAAAAACAUUGAUGUAUGAUUUUUUGAUCCAUUAUUUAAUGAUUAUAAGAUUAAAUUACCUUAGGGAUAACAGCGUAAUUUCUUUUUAGAGUUCUAAUCGAUAAAGAAGUUUGCGACCUCGAUGUUGGAUUAAAAUUAAAUUUUGGUGUAGAAGCUAAAAGUUUAGGUCUGUUCGACCUUUAAAAUUUUACAUGAUCUGAGUUUAAACCGGUGUGAGCCAGGUUGGUUUCUAUCUUUAAAUAGAAUAAAUAAUUUAGUACGAAAGGACCAAUUAUUAAUAAAAUUUAU